RNAcentral lists this ribosomal RNA (253 nucleotides) under uncultured bacterium. RNAcentral's name for it is "partial 16S ribosomal RNA". It matches the Rfam family "Bacterial small subunit ribosomal RNA", at positions 524 to 776 of the family's 1533-position model. The record is from RNAcentral.
UACGAGGGGGGCAAGCGUUGUUCGGAAUUAUUGGGCGUAAAGAGCUCGUAGGCGGUUUGUCGCGUCGGCCGUGAAAACUUGGGGCUUAACCCCAAGCCUGCGGUCGAUACGGGCAGACUUGAGUUCGGCAGGGGAGACUGGAAUUCCUGGUGUAGCGGUGAAAUGCGCAGAUAUCAGGAGGAACACCGGUGGCGAAGGCGCCACUCUGGGCCGAAACUGACGCUGAGGAGCGAAAGCGUGGGUAGCAAACAGG